GUGAGGAAUAUUGGUCAAUGGGCGGGAGCCUGAACCAGCCAAGUCGCGUGAAGGAAGAAGGAUCUAUGGUUCGUAAACUUCUUUUGCAGGGGAAUAAAGUGCAGGACGUGUCCUGUUUUGUAUGUACCCUGAGAAUAAGGAUCGGCUAACUCCGUGCCAGCAGCCGCGGUAAUACGGAGGAUCCGAGCGUUAUCCGGAUUUAUUGGGUUUAACGGGUGCGUAGGUGGUUUGAUAAGUCAGCGGUGAAAGUUUGCAGCUUAACUGUAAAAAUGCCGUUGAAACUGUCGGACUUGAGUGUAAAUGAGGUAGGCGGAAUGCGUGGUGUAGCGGUGAAAUGCAUAGAUAUCACGCAGAACUCCGAUUGCGAAGGCAGCUUACUAAGCUACAACUGACACUGAAGCACGAAAGCGUGGGGAUCAAACAGGAUUAGAAACCCGAGUAGUCC
This 445-nucleotide ribosomal RNA is filed under the name uncultured bacterium. Its description in RNAcentral is "partial 16S ribosomal RNA". It matches the Rfam family "Bacterial small subunit ribosomal RNA", at positions 354 to 796 of the family's 1533-position model. The record is from RNAcentral.